AACGAACGCUGGCGGCAGGCCUAACACAUGCAAGUCGAACGCUGCAGCAAUGCAGAGUGGCAGACGGGUGAGUAACACGUGGGAAUCUUCCUAUCGGUACGGAAUAGCUCAGGGAAACUUGGGGUAAUACCGUAUACGCCCUUUGGGGGAAAGAUUUAUCGCCGAUAGAUGAGCCCGCGUCUGAUUAGCUAGUUGGUGAGGUAAUGGCUCACCAAGGCGACGAUCAGUAGCUGGUCUGAGAGGAUGACCAGCCACACUGGGACUGAGACACGGCCCAGACUCCUACGGGAGGUAGCAGUGGGGAAUAUUGGACAAUGGGCGCAAGCCUGAUCCAGCCAUGCCGCGUGAGUGACGAAGGUCUUCGGAUUGUAAAGCUCUUUUGGCGGGGACGAUAAUGACGGUACCCGCAGAAUAAGCCCCGGCUAACUUCGUGCCAGCAGCCGCGGUAA
RNAcentral lists this ribosomal RNA (449 nucleotides) under uncultured bacterium. RNAcentral's name for it is "partial 16S ribosomal RNA". It matches the Rfam family "Bacterial small subunit ribosomal RNA", at positions 29 to 523 of the family's 1533-position model. The record is from RNAcentral.